GCCUGGUGUGGUGGUGUGCGCCUGUAGUCCCAGCUACCCGGGAGGCUGAGGUGGGAGGAUCGCUUGAGCCCAGGAGUUCUGGGCUGUAGUGCGCUAUGCUGAUCCGAUGUCUGCACUACAUUCAGCAUCAGUAUGGUGACCUCCUGGGAGCGGGGGACCACUGGGUUGCUUAAGGAGGGGUGAACCAGCCUAGGUUGGAAACGUAGCAGGUCAAAACUCCCGUGUUGAUCAGUAGUGGGAUCACGCCUGUGAAUAGCCACUGCACUCCAGCCUGGGCAACAUAGCUAGACCCCGUUUCU
Molecule: signal recognition particle RNA, 299 nt
Filed under: Cebus imitator (Panamanian white-faced capuchin)
Lineage: Eukaryota; Metazoa; Chordata; Mammalia; Primates; Cebidae
Description: Metazoan signal recognition particle RNA (ENSCCAG00000010011.1)
Rfam family: Metazoan signal recognition particle RNA
About the family: The signal recognition particle (SRP) is a universally conserved ribonucleoprotein. It is involved in the co-translational targeting of proteins to membranes.
Source: RNAcentral